UACAGAGGGGGCAAGCGUUGUUCGGAAUUACUGGGCGUAAAGGGCGCGUAGGCGGCCUGCUAAGUCGAACGUGAAAUCCCCGAGCUCAACUCGGGAACUGCGUCCGAUACUGGCAGGCUUGAAUCCGGGAGAGGGAUGCGGAAUUCCAGGUGUAGCGGUGAAAUGCGUAGAUAUCAGGAGGAACACCGGUGGCGAAGGCGGGUCUCUGGGCCGAUACUGACGCUGAGGAGCGAAAGCGUGGGGAGCGAACAGG
RNAcentral lists this ribosomal RNA (253 nucleotides) under uncultured bacterium. Its description in RNAcentral is "partial 16S ribosomal RNA". It matches the Rfam family "Bacterial small subunit ribosomal RNA", at positions 524 to 776 of the family's 1533-position model. The record is from RNAcentral.